UUCGAUCCUGGCUCAGAUUGAACGCUGGCGGGAUGUCUUUACACCACGCGUAGUGAGCAGCGGCACGGACUUCGGUCUGGUGGCGAGUGGCGAACGGGUGAGUAAUGUAUCGGAACGUGCCUAGUAGCGGGGGAUAACUACGCGAAAGCGUAGCUAAUACCGCAUACGCCCUUCGGGGAAAGCGGGGGACCUUCGGGCCUCGCACUGUGGAAGCGGCCGAUAUCGGAUUAGCUAGUUGGUGGGAGUAACGGCUCACCAAGGCGACGAUCCGUAGCUGGUUUGAGAGGACGACCAGCCAUACUGGGACUGAGACACGGCCCAGACUCCUACGGGAGGCAGCAGUGGGGAAUUUUGGACAAUGGGGAAACCUGAUCCAGCCAUCCCGCGUGUGCGAUGAGGCCUUCGGGUUGUAAAGCACUUUUGGCAGGAAAGAAACAGCCUGGGAUAAUACCCCGUGCAACUGACAGUACCUGCAAAGAUAAGCACCGGCUAACUACGUGCCAGCAGCCGCGGUAAUACGUAGGGUGCAAGCGUUAAUCAAAUUACUGAGGCGUAAAGCGUGCGCAGGCAGUUCAGAAGAAGAUGUGAAAUCCCAGAGCUUAACUUUGGAACUGCAUUUUAACUACCGAGCUAGAGUGUGUCAGAGGGAGGUGGAAUUCCGCGUGUAGCAGUGAAAUGCGUAGAUAUGCCAGAGGAGGAACACCGAUAGCGAAGGCAACCUCCUGGGAUAACACUGACGCUCAUACUGGCAUGGGGAGCGAACAGGAUUGGUCACCCCACAAUGGUCCGCACCUAAACAGUCAUCAACUAGCUGUUGAGGCCUUCGGGCCUUGGUAGCGCAGCUAACGCGUGGUUGACCGCCUGGAGUGCGGUCGCAAGAUUAAAACUCAAAGGAAUUGACGGGGACCCGCACAAGCGGUGGAUGAUGUGGAUUAAUUCGAUGCAACGCGAAAAACCUUACCACCCUUGACAUGUCUGGAAUCCGAAAGUUGCAGGUACUCGCAAGAGAACGGAACACAGGUGCUGUGGCUGUCGUCAGCUCGUGUCGUGAGAUGUUGGGUUAAGUCCCGCAACGAGCGCAACCCUUGUCAUUAGUUGCUACGAAAGGGCACUCUAAUGAGACUGCCGGUGACAAACCGGAGGAAGGUGGGGAUGACGUCAAGUCCUGUAGCCCUUAUGGGUAGGGCUUCACACGUCAUACAAUGGUCGGGACAGAGGGUCGCCAACCCGCGAGGGGGAGCCAAUCCCAGAAACCCGAUCGUAGUCCGGAUCACCGAUACCCAACUCGACUGCGUGGAAAUCGGAAUCGCUAGUAAUCGCGGAUCAGCAUGUCGCGGUGAAUACGUUCCCGGGUCUUGUACACACCGCCCGUCACACCAUGGGAGUGGGUUUUACCAGAAGUAGUUAGCCUAACCGUAAGGAGGGCGAUUACCACAGUAGGAUUCAUGACUGGGGUGAAGUCGUAACAGGUAA
This 1473-nucleotide ribosomal RNA is filed under the name uncultured Bordetella sp. RNAcentral's name for it is "partial 16S-23S ribosomal RNA intergenic spacer". It matches the Rfam family "Bacterial small subunit ribosomal RNA". Lineage: Bacteria; Pseudomonadati; Pseudomonadota; Betaproteobacteria; Burkholderiales; Alcaligenaceae. The record is from RNAcentral.